AUAGUUGGUGUAAUCCCUUGUUAGUUGGUUGAGAUUAGGAUGAGUUGGUUAGGAUUGAGCACAUGUACCUCAUUUAACACAUGGCUUACUCUCUCUCUCUCUAUCUCUAUGGAGGCCUAGGUCCCCUUGGAGUGGCCUACAACAACUACUAUUCCCAUUCACCAUUCUUACUCUUCCACAAUUCAUAUUCAUAUUCCAUCAAGUUCUUAUCAGAAAUAUGCUACAGUGAAACUAUCAUAAAAUUCCCCUUGUGUUGUGUCAUCAUUACUUAAGUGUUUUUUUUUUUUGUCCACAUAUUUCUCUUUUAGGGGACACCACUUUGUGACUGAUUCCCCAACAAGUUCUGUCAGACAUUUUCAAGCCAAAUGUGCUUUAUUUAAUGUAAUUUGGACUCGAUUGGCCUAAUAAAUUUGCUUGCCCUGUUGAAUAGCUUAAACAUCUUUGCCAUGGACAUGAUCUAUUAUGUUUUAUCUACCUUUUUGUUGGGGGUGGGGGUUGUUUGCAGUUGUUUCCACUACAUUUAAAAUUAUCUUGUGUUGAUUUGGGAUCUUCAUUUUUUUUUUCCAGAAGAAUUGAGCUUGUGGGUUGUGUUUGUCAUUUUACUAGCCGUUGUUGCUUAUUUUAUGAAGAAUCAAGGAAUCCAGCUAGCGGUUACAGUUUUGAAGAUCUUUAAGAGCUUGUAAGGGUAGAGUUAUCCUAAAGAACUUCAAGAAUCCUACUCUGCUCGAAUCGGACAAUUC
Quercus robur (English oak) is the source of this 740-nucleotide long non-coding RNA. RefSeq lists it as uncharacterized. The record is from RefSeq and is a predicted model, not a curated record. NCBI's taxonomy places the organism in Eukaryota, Viridiplantae, Streptophyta, Magnoliopsida, Fagales, Fagaceae. The transcript has 2 exons.